GACGAACGCUGGCGGCGUGCUUAACACAUGCAAGUCGAACGGAAAGGCCCUGCUUUUGUGGGGUGCUCGAGUGGCGAACGGGUGAGUAACACGUGAGUAACCUGCCCUUGACUUUGGGAUAACUUCAGGAAACUGGGGCUAAUACCGGAUAGGAGCUCCUGCUGCAUGGGGGGGGUUGGAAAGUUUGGGCGGUUGGGGAUGGACUCGGGCCUUAUCAGCUUGUUGGGGGGGUAGUGGCUUACCAAGCCUUUGCCGGGUGGCAGGCCUGAGGGGGUGACCGGCCAAGUUAGGACGGGACUGAGGCCCAGACUCCUACGGGAGGCAGCGGUGGGGAAGAUUGCACAAUGGGAGGGAGCCUGAUGCAGCAUCGCCGCGUGGGGGAAGACGUCCUGGGGGUUGUAAACCGCUGUCGCCUGAGACGAGGCGUGAGUGACGGUAAUGGGUGAAGAAGCACCGGCUAACUACGUG
This 468-nucleotide ribosomal RNA is filed under the name uncultured bacterium. RNAcentral describes it as "partial 16S ribosomal RNA". It matches the Rfam family "Bacterial small subunit ribosomal RNA", at positions 28 to 507 of the family's 1533-position model. The record is from RNAcentral.